RNAcentral lists this ribosomal RNA (433 nucleotides) under uncultured bacterium. Its description in RNAcentral is "partial 16S ribosomal RNA". It matches the Rfam family "Bacterial small subunit ribosomal RNA", at positions 29 to 507 of the family's 1533-position model. The record is from RNAcentral.
AGCGAACGCUGGCGGCAGGCCUAACACAUGCAAGUCGAACGAACUCUUCGGAGUUAGUGGCGGACGGGUGAGUAACACGUGGGAACGUGCCUUUUGGUUCGGAAUAACUCAGGGAAACUUGUGCUAAUACCGAAUGUGCCCUUCGGGGGAAAGAUUUAUCGCCAUUAGAGCGGCCCGCGUCUGAUUAGCUAGUUGGUGAGGUAACGGCUCACCAAGGCGACGAUCAGUAGCUGGUCUGAGAGGAUGACCAGCCACACUGGGACUGAGACACGGCCCAGACUCCUACGGGAGGCAGCAGUGGGGAAUCUUGCGCAAUGGGCGAAAGCCUGACGCAGCCAUGCCGCGUGAAUGAUGAAGGUCCUAGGAUUGUAAAAUUCUUUCACCGGGGACGAUAAUGAUGGUACCCGGAGAAGAAGCCCCGGCUAACUUCGUG